Oncorhynchus tshawytscha (Chinook salmon) is the source of this 1301-nucleotide long non-coding RNA. Lineage: Eukaryota; Metazoa; Chordata; Actinopteri; Salmoniformes; Salmonidae. The record is from Ensembl.
CCCUUCCAGAACAAGGGCGAGGGAACAGACUCGGAAGCCAAAAGGACACUUACAUUGUGAGGACGACCAGAGAGUUGCGCCUGAGAAGUGCGUCAUUGAGCAGCCUGAACGGUCCACGCGGAGAAUCCACGGAGACCUUCCCCAUGGAAGAGCUAUGGUUCCACUGAGGAAGCCAAACAUAAGGAGGUCUGGUUAGCUACUAGGACGAGAGUGAUGGAACACAACAAGCGGGCAGAGAAUGGCUCGGAGAGCUUCACCGUGGGGAUGAAUCAUGCUUCUGACAGGGUAUGAUCACGACUACUGGGAAGGUUACAAGAUGAAGGACACAUCGAUGGCUCUGAACGAACUUUAACCCUCGCAAGGCUGCAGGCCCAGACGGCAUCCCCAGCCGCGCCCUCAGAGCAUGCGCAGACCAGCUGGCUGGUGUGUUUACGGACAUAUUCAAUCAAUCCUUAUCCCAGUCUGCUGUUCCCACAUGCUUCAAGAUGGCCACCAUUGUUCCUGUUCCCAAGAAAGCUAAGGUAACUGCGCUAAACGACUACCGCCCUGUAGCACUCACUUCCAUCAUCAUGAAGUGCUUUGAGAGACUAGUCAAGGACCAUAUCACCUCCACCCUACCUGACACCCUAGACCCAGUCCAAUUUGCUUACUGCCCAAAUAGGUCCACAGACGAUGCAAUCUCAACCACACUGCCCUAACCCAUCUGGACAAGAGGAAUACCUAUGUGAGAAUGCUGUUCAUCGACUACAGCUCAGCAAUUAACACCAUAGUACCCUCCAAACUCGUCAUCAAGCUCAAGACCCUGGGUCUCGACUCUGCCCUGUGCAACUGGGUACUGGACUUCCUGACGGGCCGCCCCCAGGUGGUGAGGGUAGGUAACAUCUCCACCCUGCUGAUCCUCAACACAAGGGUGCGUUCUGAGCCCUCUCCUGUACUCCCUGUUCACCCACGACUGCGUGGCCAUGCACGCCUCCAACUCAAUCAUCAAGUUUGCGGAUGACACAACAGUGGUAGGCUUGAUUACCAACAACGGCAAGACGGCCUACAGGGAGGAGGUGAGGGCCCUCGGAGUGUGGUGUCAGGAAAAUAACCUCACACUCAACGUCAACAAAACUAAGGAGAUGAUUGUGGACUUCAGGAAACAGCAGAGGGAACACCCCCCUAUCCACAUCGAUGGAACAGUAGUGGAGAGGGUAGUAAGUUUUAAGUUCCUUGGCGUACACAUCACAGACAAACUGAAUUGGUCCACCCACACAGACAGCAUCGUGAAGAAGGCGCAGCAGCGCCUCUUCAACCUCAGG